ACUCAAAUGAAUUGACGGGGGCCCGCACAAGCGGUGGAGCAUGCGGUUUAAUUCGACGCAACGCGAAGAACCUUACCUAGGCUUGACAUGUACAGAAGUCCUUAGAAAUUUGGAUGUGCUCGCAAGAGAACUGUAACACAGGUGCUGCAUGGCUGUCGUCAGCUCGUGUCGUGAGAUGUUGGGUUAAGUCCCGCAACGAGCGCAACCCUUGUCGUUAGUUGCCAGCAUUUAGUUGGGAACUCUAACGAGACUGCCGUGGUUAACACGGAGGAAGGUGGGGAUGACGUCAAGUCCUCAUGGCCUUUAUGCUUAGGGCUACACGCGUGCUACAAUGCAUUCUACAGAGGGCUGCGAAGCCGCAAGGUGAAGCCAAUCCCACAAAAGAAUGCUCAGUUCAGAUUGGAGUCUGCAACUCGACUCCAUGAAGCUGGAAUCGCUAGUAAUCGCGGAUCAGCACGCCGCGGUGAAUACGUUCCCGGGCCUUGUACACACCGCCCGU
This 499-nucleotide ribosomal RNA is filed under the name uncultured bacterium. Its description in RNAcentral is "partial 16S ribosomal RNA". It matches the Rfam family "Bacterial small subunit ribosomal RNA", at positions 899 to 1397 of the family's 1533-position model. The record is from RNAcentral.